This 24-nucleotide transfer RNA is filed under the name Cyrtodactylus triedrus (Spotted bent-toed gecko). RNAcentral describes it as "partial tRNA-Cys". The record is from RNAcentral. RNAcentral also lists the same sequence under 2 other names. Lineage: Eukaryota; Metazoa; Chordata; Lepidosauria; Squamata; Gekkonidae.
UAGGUGCCGGGGCUUCUCCCGUUU